Molecule: long non-coding RNA, 692 nt
Organism: Raphanus sativus (radish)
Lineage: Eukaryota; Viridiplantae; Streptophyta; Magnoliopsida; Brassicales; Brassicaceae
Exons: 3
Source: RefSeq, a predicted model, not a curated record
UGAACCGAAUCAGAUCAUUUGGCUGGAACUGGUUCAGUUGAAAUGUUGAAAUGUCGAAAUUACCCUUGGUAAAACUCAAAUAUUACAAACCUAAUUUCAUCCUUUUUCAGUCACCGUCUCUCACCUCACCGUCGCUCUCUCGCCAUCUCUCUCGCCACCAUGAAAGGAGCUUGAAGCUCUCACCUCACCGUCGCAAACUCUCACCUCACCGUUGAUCUCUCGCCGUCUCUCUCUCGUCAUCUCUCUCGCCGUCUCUAUCUCUCGCCAUCUCUCUCGCCGUCUUUCUCGCCGUCUUUCUCGCCGUCUCUCUCGCCGGCUCGUCAUCUCUCUCACCGGAAGCUAUUGAUCUUCAAGAGUGUUCUAACGCAAAGCUUGAGAAGGUUUUUUCUCUUCUUGGGUUGUCUUGAUAGUAAGGGAGCAGAUGAGUGAAGAGGGUGAAUCUUAAGUUAUUGGUGUAGCAAUUUAAACGUAUUGGUUGGAGUGUGGAAGUUCUUGUGUGUGGUCCAAAGACAUGAGACGAUGAAAACGUAUAACAUUGUUUUCACAUGCUGUGAAAGUUACUUGGAUCGCAAGUCAAUAGUUUGGGUCUGUAAUGAGUACAUUAACCUAUUUUUUUCUAUUUUGAGUUGUGUUUCUACUUUGAAUUGUGUUUCUACUUUGAUUUUUAUUAUAAGCUAUAAAUUUUAAUGCAA